UCCUAGCCGUAAACGUUGGGCACUAGGUGUUGGAUCGUAAGGUUCAGUGCCGUCGCUUACGCAUUAAGUGCCCCGCCUGGGGAGUACGACCGCAAGGUUGAAACUCAAAGGAAUUGACGGGGGCCCGCACAAGCGGUGGAGCAUGUGGUUUAAUUCGACGCAACGCGAAGAACCUUACCUGGGCUUGACAUCCUGAUGAAAGUCUCAGAGAUGAG
Molecule: ribosomal RNA, 215 nt
Filed under: uncultured bacterium
Lineage: Bacteria
Description: partial 16S ribosomal RNA
Rfam family: Bacterial small subunit ribosomal RNA
Source: RNAcentral